GACGAACGCUGGCGGCGUGCUUAACACAUGCAAGUCGAACGGAAAGGCCUUUUCGGAGGUACUCGAGUGGCGCACGGGUGAGUAACACGUGGGUGAUCUGCCCUGCACUCUGGGAUAAGCCUGGGAAACUGGGUCUAAUACCGGAUAGGACCGCACUUUAGUGUGUGUGGUGGAAAGUUUUUUCGGUGUAGGAUGAGCCCGCGGCCUAUCAGCUUGUUGGUGGGGUAAUGGCCUACCAAGGCGGCGACGGGUAGCCGGACUGAGAGGUUGGUCGGCCACAUUGGGACUGAGAUACGGCCCAGACUCCUACGGGAGGCAGCAGUGGGGAAGAUUGCACAAUGGGCGCAAGCCUGACGCAGCGACGCCGCGUGGGGGAUGACGGCCUUCGGGUUGUAAACUCCUUUCGCCAGGGACGAAGCGUUUUGUGACGGUACCUGGAGAAGAAGCACCGGCUAACUACGUG
RNAcentral lists this ribosomal RNA (463 nucleotides) under uncultured bacterium. RNAcentral's name for it is "partial 16S ribosomal RNA". It matches the Rfam family "Bacterial small subunit ribosomal RNA", at positions 28 to 507 of the family's 1533-position model. The record is from RNAcentral.